AAUUUUGUCAAAACAUGCAGCUAGUGUGUUUUGGAUUGUUGGGAGCUUUUGCUGAACUUGUUUCAGCUCUCCUGAAAAAGAUUAAACUGGUUAGGGGAGAUGGUGGCUCUAUUCACUUCUGCCUUUCCAUUGGUGUGGUAGAUGAAUGAAAAAUUCACUGUGCCAGGAAAAGCAGGGUUUAUAAGUGAAGGAAAAAGAGUACUAUGGAACUCUCUGCUCAUUAUUGAGAACUUGGUUGUAUUG
Molecule: unclassified non-coding RNA, 243 nt
Filed under: uncultured Amanita
Lineage: Eukaryota; Fungi; Basidiomycota; Agaricomycetes; Agaricales; Amanitaceae
Description: sequence contains ITS2
Source: RNAcentral